GGGUAGAAGGAAGGGCGUACCUAACCUAACGCCAUUUUAGUGUAUUUGAGAAGAACGCCACCAUGGUCAACCGUCAUACUUUAGUUUUCUGUUGGUUUUCCUGCUACAAACCUCUUUGUCAUCCACUGUAUGUUUUCAUGAAAAGGUGGUGGCAACCGAUGGGCAGAAUAUCACCAUUCCCUUCAAUUUUUCUCACCUGGAGAGGGCCGAUCAAGUAAAAGUACAUUUCGAAGGGAUAAACAAAACAAAAUUGGUAGGAGAGCUUUGUUUCAAGAAUGAUUCCUGUGAUUAUAUGGAACCAGAUGGAGUCUUCCUGAAAGUUGAAGGAGAGAGACUGUCCCUAAUUCUUCUAGAGAUAAACUCUUCAAGACAAGGCAAUUAUACAGUGAUUGUCCUUAUUGGAGAGAAAACUGAUAAACGGUCUUUUACACUUCUUGUCAAAACACCAUUUUCCUCAAGUACAAUUCCACCACAUUCUCCAACAUCAGAAUCUCCAACCUCAUCUAAUUACCUGUGGUUGUACUUCCUACUACUACUACUACUACUUCCUCUGUUGAUUUAUGGGAUUUGGCUCCUUCUGAAACAGCGAAA
This is a non-coding RNA of Danio rerio (zebrafish), 591 nucleotides long. The record is from RefSeq and is a predicted model, not a curated record. Lineage: Eukaryota; Metazoa; Chordata; Actinopteri; Cypriniformes; Danionidae.